This is a long non-coding RNA of Xiphophorus couchianus (Monterrey platyfish), 4177 nucleotides long. RefSeq lists it as uncharacterized. The record is from RefSeq and is a predicted model, not a curated record. The transcript has 2 exons. NCBI's taxonomy places the organism in Eukaryota, Metazoa, Chordata, Actinopteri, Cyprinodontiformes, Poeciliidae.
CUUGGUAAGUAUUUAGUGUUUGCAGUGAAUAUAUAUCAGUUUGCUUAUAUCUUCAAAACCCAUCCUCCAUCCUCGUUUACUUACAAAACAUUUCUGCUGUCAUAAAUUAGAGGGGUUGUAUCAGCUAGUCUUUUAAUUUCUCCUCUUCAUAUUUUAUGGAUUGCCGUGGCGGAAAGAACACAAACGGGUGCAUCGAUAAUCAAGCUCCUGUUCAUUUGUGCACAGAUCACAUCCAAACCGCAGCUGUCGGGAAAAGUCUGGACUCAGCACCGUCUCGGCUCGCUUUUAAAAAAUCUAACGAGACGCCUGAUCUGACGCGACAGCUCCGCCUGAGUCCCACAUUCAUGGAACGUCACUGAGUCGGGUGUAUUCUCAUUCUGCACACUCACUUUUGUCUUGAGAUGAAUUUAAUCACACAAAGAUUGUUUGAUGGAUUUCUUUAAUCCCCGAAAAGAGAGUAAAACACACAGAGGACAGAAAUUACAUCAGAAAAUCACAGUGAAUCUAAUUAUAGCUAAAAAGCAGACAGCAAAUGACAGACUAACAACAUGUAAUCACUUCUUAACAAAACGCACGCUUCAACAACAUGCAGCGUUUCCUCCUCCAGACAGCAGGAGUGUGUUGGAUGUGUUUAAAAAAAUAAAAAAAACACAUUCUGUGUAGCUCAAACUCCCUGUGACAAUUUUACAAGGACACUUGACCUGAAUGAUUUAAAGGAAAGGAGUGUUGCAAUGCAAAAUAAAAAGCACAAGGAAGGAGGCGACAGAAAUACCGUUGCGAGAAAGCACUUUGAGUAAUUGGCAGCUGAAUUCACGAAGGAAUAAAACGCUUCAGAAAGAAUUGAAAUCAGACAAUUAGAAGUUCUUUAAGGAGCUGCUCCUGAGUCCGAGAGGAGGAAGUAAUCACCUCCCAAAACAGGAGAAAUGAUUCCCGUCUUCGUGCAGCUCGCUUUAAUUAGAGGCCAGCAGCUUUUCAAUUAUUUUUAUUACAAAAUGACCCUCAGUUUGCUUGAACACUUGUUUCUUUUUCUUUCUUUUUUCCUGAUUUACAUUUAGACAGCAAAGAGGAAAAAAAGGUAGAAAAAAGACCCCCGUCAGUUUCAGGCUAGAGGAGGGAUGGAUCUGAACAAGUCGAGGCUGUGAAUAAAAACAGGCAAAAUUGAAAUUGAAAAAAUUAAGGGAAAAAACAAUCCUUUGGAUGAGUUAGAUUCAAAACUAAGUAGUAGAAAAUCCUGAUUACAAGGAGGUGAACACCUGGGUUUCAGUAUAAUUAACAUGGGAUGGGUUGAAUUCUCAAAAAAUAUAUAAAAUAAAAAAUAUAUAUUUUAAUAUUUCAUCAUGUUCCCUUAGCUUAAGAGACGGAGACACUCGUUGUUCUUGAGUCUUAAACUCUGGUUUUAAAAUUCAGUGUUCUGGGUCUCAGCCAAACAGUUUUUAGGCAACAUACUGACCCUGCACUGUCACUGAGGUAUUUUUAAUUGCUUAGGACACCGCUGGGUAAAUCUAAUGUGUUUUUAAGGGGAUGGAGUGUUAAAAUAUAGAGCAGUUUGUGUUAUUCUCCAUCUAGAUGUGCAGAAUCAUGCCAGAAUCAGAGCUCAAAUCAGGAAAAAUACACUGAAUGAAGAUGACUGGAAACAAAGUAUUUGCUCUUCCUUGAGACCUGAUUGCAUCCGAAUCUAAAUUUACAAGAAAUUUAAAUUAUGUCUGAAGCUAUAAGUAAUUAUGUUUACCUUUUAUAUAUCUGAUGCUGUGUCAAAUUAUAAAACCAUCCUUCAUUUCAUUAUGUUUCUUUCUGAUGAAGUAAAAUAUUUUAUUGAAUUUGUCCUGAUCAACAUUUGUUCUGAAAGUAUUUGUUCAAACUUGAAUGCUUUACCACUCAUUUACACUCUGAUGCUCAUUUCAGACUCUGAAUUAUUGUUCCAUACAUGCUUAUAAAAAUGAAAUCUGAACAAAUAGAAUAGUGAAAAAGUGUUGGGCCUAAAAAUAAACAUCUGUCACAGUAUCUGAAAGCCAUAUCCUCAGUUUAAAGCUGUUGUUACAUGUAAAAAUAUGCUUUAUGUGUGAUUAAAAUAGGAAAAAAAAAAAACAUGGAUUUUGUAUCAUUUGAGAUGUGGCCAUGUUAGUUUGUGUUAGAAUGCAAAAUGUAGGCUGUAAGCUCGGCUACUUCGUUGUUUAUUUCAUGUUUAAUCAUCAUUUGACAAUCUUGGGCUGAAAGUUUGAGGCUCUAUAAUCAGUCUAUGUGUAACAAGGUUUUAUUUUAACAAUACUAUAGAUGUUAAGUUUGUCAAAAUUUGUUUAUUUGACCUUUGAAUUUAUUUUGUUUAGUCAACAAGUUGUUUCUUCAGACAUUUAUUGGUGUUUUUAGUUCGGUUACGUGGCUCUUGGCAGUUGGUGGUUACCAUAGCAACCAGUAACUGACAACUCCUCCCACCUUUUUUCUGUUGCCGUUGGUAACUGUGGUAUGUAUUAGGAUCAGCUCUGUGUUUUGUUUACAAAUAUCAUAUUGUAACAUAUAUUUUAUAUAAAUUUAAUAAUACUUUGUUUCAUGAGUAUUUUUUCUAUGUCUUGUAUGUUUUUAACUGUUAUGUUAGCUAUGUUUAAUUUUACAAAUGCUAACUGCUGUUAACUGCUCACUGGGAGUUAUUGCUUUGCAGUUUGUUUAGGGUUAUUUAUUGUAUUUUAUUUAAUGAAUAGAACUGAUGUUAACCACCAACUUGAUUUCCUCUUUUGCUAGAAUAAAUACAGUGAACCUGAAAGUGUCUGUUGUGAAUCUACUGGAGCUGAGACGAACAUAGAAGUGUAGGAGAUAUGGACUUAAAGUUUUAUCACAAUAUUUUGUGGUAUGUUGUGAUAAUGAGAAAAGUGGCUAUUAGAUAACUAUUUAUUACUGUAUGGCUGUAACAGCAUAGUAGAACAAUUAUAGCUCCCAAAACAAAAAUGCUGCUCUGAAAAAUCUAACCCAUGUGCAAUACGCUUCUUUAGGUCACUAGUGAUCUGUGUCACACAGUAUCUGGAUUUAAUCAUAUUUUCAAAGAUAUUGAUAUUUACUGAUGCUCUGAUUGAAGAAAUGAUGGAAAAAAACAGCAUAAAUAACAAUCCCACUGAUUUUUUAAAAACAUCAUUAAUUUGAACAUAUCGUGUCAACAAUAAAUCAGAAUUCUUACCAUGAUAAAGAAAUUUAUCACGAUAAAUGAUAAGAUAAAGGCCCACUGAAGUUCUAAGUGGUUUUAUAUUUGAUAGAUAAUUACAUUUUAAAAUUUCAUUUUAAAAGGUUUAAACUCCCCUACUUCAACAUGUUGAAGUGAGAUAACCUUCAUCACUGCAGAGAGAGUGUCUGCAUGGUAUAACAUGAGGUUAAGGAAUUUUGUUAUUUUAUCAUUUCUAUAACGUUUGUGACUUGAAAAUUGCAGCAAGAAGCAUAAAAGGUGAAUAAAAAGAAGAAAACCGAUGAGGAAGAAGUAGAUCUGACAAUGACUGAACACAAACAUAGAGGAAGGUGAUUACUGCAAAAAGGAACAAGCUAGGCUGAUGUAGUGAGGAAACACAAAGAUGAAUGGUAACAUGAAUAAACACAAAGAGCUAAAUAACACCAUGGUUAAAUUCAGAGCAUUACAACCAACCACAAUACAGAAACCAGGCAAAUUUAACUCAAGGUCUUACAAACUGUGACAGUGGCAGUCUGAGUUAGCUUGAUAUAACAUUGUGUGGGCAGAAAGAUAACACUGAAUCAUUAUUUACUUAAUAAAUGUGCCUGUGUGGCAGCAUACUGGCAGCUAAAUGCAAAUAUCUAUUUGAUUCCCUGUUGUUAACAAAGCCCUGAUUCUUCUUUUGAGUUUAGGAUCUGUUUUAUGAAUAAAAUGUCAAAGUUAGGUGGAUUCACAAGCACCUGAAGAUAAGUGAAAAGCAGCCAGAGUUCACAGAAAAACCUUCAGAAAUCAUGUAGACCACAUGUGUCAAACUGAAAGACCUGUGGGCCAAAUAUGGCCCGCCGUAGCUUUUUAUGUAGAUAGAAAAUAUUAUGUUAUCAAUCAAAUCAAUGCAGUUUUUAUCCAUUUACUGCCAAAUUAUAUCAAUCAGUCCCUCCAGUUUCUUGGGAAUUAUCGUGGAAAUUUACGCAAGAUCAACAAAUCCCUGCAUUUUUUUGUGCUAAUAAUUGGAAGUUUAUUGCAAAUUUUUCU